RNAcentral lists this ribosomal RNA (497 nucleotides) under uncultured bacterium. RNAcentral describes it as "partial 16S ribosomal RNA". It matches the Rfam family "Bacterial small subunit ribosomal RNA", at positions 28 to 507 of the family's 1533-position model. The record is from RNAcentral.
GAUGAACGCUGGCGGCGUGCCUAAUACAUGCAAGUCGAGCGAACAGACGAGGAGCUUGCUCCUCUGACGUUAGCGGCGGACGGGUGAGUAACACGUGGAUAACCUACCUAUAAGACUGGGAUAACUUCGGGAAACCGGAGCUAAUACCGGAUAAUAUAUUGAACCGCAUGGUUCAAUAGUGAAAGACGGUUUUGCUGUCACUUAUAGAUGGAUCCGCGCCGCAUUAGCUAGUUGGUAAGGUAACGGCUUACCAAGGCAACGAUGCGUAGCCGACCUGAGAGGGUGAUCGCCCACACUGGAACUGAGACACGGUCCAGACUCCUACGGGAGGAAGCAGUAGGGAAUCUUCCGCAAUGGGCGAAAGCUUGACGGAGCAACGCCGCGUGAGUGAUGAAGGUCUUCGGAUCGUAAAACCCUGUUAUUAGGGAGGAACAAAUGUGUAAGUAACUAUGCACGUCUUGACGGUACCUAAUCAGAAAGCCACGGCUAACUACGUG